GACGUAGGGCGCGAGCGUUGUCCGGAUUUACUGGGCGUAAAGAGCGCGCAGGCGGCUGGUCAAGUCCGAUGUGAAAGCUCCCGGCUUAACUGGGAAAUUGCAUCGGAAACUGAUCGGCUGGAAGGUGGGAGAGGGUAGCGGAAUUCCCGGUGUAGUGGUGAAAUGCGUAGAUAUCGGGAGGAACACCAGUGGCGAAGGCGGAUCUCUGGGCCAUUACUGACGCUGAGGAGCGAAAGCGUGGGGAGCGAACAGG
Molecule: ribosomal RNA, 253 nt
Filed under: uncultured bacterium
Lineage: Bacteria
Description: partial 16S ribosomal RNA
Rfam family: Bacterial small subunit ribosomal RNA
Source: RNAcentral